Gossypium arboreum is the source of this 100-nucleotide small nucleolar RNA. It matches the Rfam family "Plant small nucleolar RNA R71". Rfam says of the family: R71 is a member of the C/D box family of snoRNAs containing the C (UGAUGA) and D (CUGA) box motifs. Multiple nearly identical copies of this snoRNA have been identified in Arabidopsis, and it is thought to function as a 2'-O-ribose methylation guide for 18S ribosomal RNA. NCBI's taxonomy places the organism in Eukaryota, Viridiplantae, Streptophyta, Magnoliopsida, Malvales, Malvaceae. The record is from Rfam.
AACCCAUGGUGAGGGCACCUUCUCAAUAAAUCCUUAUACCUCUCUCAUGCAUCAUAUAAAAAUCCAUUUGUACAAAGGAAGAGAUAUCAUUCCUCAAUUU